RNAcentral lists this long non-coding RNA (252 nucleotides) under Citrus x clementina. Its description in RNAcentral is "Citrus clementina (C. clementina) long non-coding RNA (CCLE_LNC003534)". Lineage: Eukaryota; Viridiplantae; Streptophyta; Magnoliopsida; Sapindales; Rutaceae. The record is from RNAcentral.
UGGCCUAAUUCUUGUAAUAAUUGCAGGUUCACACAAGAGUCCACCCCAUGGAAAGACACCACCCUCUCAUGGAACCCCAACGCCACCAUCACACGGAACCUACAACCCAACUCCAUCACCACCUUCAAACUGUGGAAAUCCACCAAAUGAACCUAGCACCCCAUCAACCCCAUCAAUUCCAUCAAACCCUCCUUCCGAUGGUGGUGGUUACAACUCUCCUCCAACUUACGGAGGCGGUAGCCCUCCUUCCGA